GGCGGACGGGUGAGUAAUGUAUAGUUAAUCUGCCCUUUAGAGGGGGAUAACAGUUGGAAACGACUGCUAAUACCCCAUACUCCUUUUUCAUUAAUUGUAAUUGGGAAAUGUUUUUCGCUAAAGGAUGAGACUAUAUGGUAUCAGGUAGUUGGUGGGGUAAGAGCCUACCAAGCCAAUGACGCCUAGCUGGUCUGAGAGGAUGAUCAGCCACACUGGAACUGAGACACGGUCCAG
RNAcentral lists this ribosomal RNA (234 nucleotides) under uncultured bacterium. RNAcentral's name for it is "partial 16S ribosomal RNA". It matches the Rfam family "Bacterial small subunit ribosomal RNA", at positions 97 to 334 of the family's 1533-position model. The record is from RNAcentral.